UACGUAGGGUGCGAGCGUUGUCCGGAAUUAUUGGGCGUAAAGGGCUCGUAGGCGGUCUGUUGCGUCAGGAGUGAAAACCCGGGGCUUAACCCCGGGCCUGCAUUCGAUACGGGCAGACUCGAGUGUGGUAGGGGAGACUGGAACUCCUGGUGUAGCGGUGAAAUGCGCAGAUAUCAGGAAGAACACCGGUGGCGAAGGCGGGUCUCUGGGCCACUACUGACGCUGAGGAGCGAAAGCGUGGGGAGCGAACAGG
Molecule: ribosomal RNA, 253 nt
Filed under: uncultured bacterium
Lineage: Bacteria
Description: partial 16S ribosomal RNA
Rfam family: Bacterial small subunit ribosomal RNA
Source: RNAcentral